RNAcentral lists this ribosomal RNA (496 nucleotides) under uncultured bacterium. RNAcentral's name for it is "partial 16S ribosomal RNA". It matches the Rfam family "Bacterial small subunit ribosomal RNA", at positions 29 to 507 of the family's 1533-position model. The record is from RNAcentral.
AUGAACGCUGGCGGCGUGCCUAAUACAUGCCAGUCGAGCGAACAGACGAGGAGCUUGCUCCUCUGACGUUAGCGGCGGACGGGUGAGUAACACGUGGAUAACCUACCUAUAAGACUGGGAUAACUUCGGGAAACCGGAGCUAAUACCGGAUAAUAUAUUGAACCGCAUGGUUCAAUAGUGAAAGACGGUUUUGCUGUCACUUAUAGAUGGAUCCGCGCCGCAUUAGCUAGUUGGUAAGGUAACGGCUUACCAAGGCAACGAUGCGUAGCCGACCUGAGAGGGUGAUCGGCCACACUGGAACUGAGACACGGUCCAGACUCCUACGGGAGGCAGCAGUAGGGAAUCUUCCGCAAUGGGCGAAAGCCUGACGGAGCAACGCCGCGUGAGUGAUGAAGGUCUUCGGAUCGUAAAGCUCUGUUAUUAGGGAAGAACAAAUGUGUAAGUAACUAUGCACGUCUUGACGGUACCUAAUCAGAAAGCCACGGCUAACUACGUG